UGGGGAAUAUUGGACAAUGGGCGAAAGCCUGAUCCAGCCAUGCCGCGUGUGUGAAGAAGGUCUUCGGAUUGUAAAGCACUUUAAGUUGGGAGGAAGGGCAGUAACUUAAUACGUUGCUGUUUUGACGUUACCGACAGAAUAAGCACCGGCUAACUCUGUGCCAGCAGCCGCGGUAAUACAGAGGGUGCAAGCGUUAAUCGGAAUUACUGGGCGUAAAGCGCGCGUAGGUGGUUUGUUAAGUUGGAUGUGAAAGCCCCGGGCUCAACCUGGGAACUGCAUUCAAAACUGACAAGCUAGAGUAUGGUAGAGGGUGGUGGAAUUUCCUGUGUAGCGGUGAAAUGCGUAGAUAUAGGAAGGAACACC
This 363-nucleotide ribosomal RNA is filed under the name uncultured Pseudomonas sp. RNAcentral describes it as "bacterial SSU rRNA". It matches the Rfam family "Bacterial small subunit ribosomal RNA", at positions 355 to 710 of the family's 1533-position model. Lineage: Bacteria; Pseudomonadati; Pseudomonadota; Gammaproteobacteria; Pseudomonadales; Pseudomonadaceae. The record is from RNAcentral.